UUGACCCUGGGGUGUACGUCAGCGAAUCGACGUCCCCGAGCCGAUAAGCAAAAAACCAGGAUCGGCUUUUAUCCGCUAUUGAGCAUGCUCAGCAUGACUGAGAAGCCUACGGCUGAUGCUGCCAAUCCACCUUGAACGUCUGGUUCAAGGGCAACAAUUCGCAACGGCACCCUGGGGUACUC
Molecule: non-coding RNA, 182 nt
Organism: Photobacterium halotolerans
Lineage: Bacteria; Pseudomonadati; Pseudomonadota; Gammaproteobacteria; Vibrionales; Vibrionaceae
Source: Rfam